GAAAACAGCGCCUUUACUGCAAAGUUAUUUGAAUAAUAACAAGCUUAUAGAAUCAGUAAAUCAGCAGGAGCGUGUCACCACUAAACACUAGGCUGCAAUUCACAGUGCGACCGUGUAAAAAAGAGCAAUCACUUCAUCCCUGCAUAGUCACGCUUCUAGCUCGUGUCAUUGUCACCCACCUUGUCAAUAACUCAAAAUGGGCUUUUUUUGUUUCGUAUUUACUUAAAACACCAAAUUAUUCUCAAAUCUUUAGACACGUUCAUUGAAACCCAUCGAUAAACCACUCUAAAUUAGUCAAAAUUAAUCAAGAAAGAAGGAUUAUAUCAUUACCUGCCAGACAGGGUACCAAUGGUAGUGGAUGACGUUCAGUACUCUCCAGCAUUGAAAAGACAAUGAACGAAUUUACUCCUCAAAAUUAACUAGGUAAUUGUAUAUCCACAGCAAUUAAAUUCAGGUCCAUUUUUAGCGCCAGAAAAACCGCAGACAUAAUGAGUCUUGAGUAAAUAAAAAUUGAUUUUUCUUGGAGAUUACGGUCCGUCAACGAAUGAAAUUUCCGCCGUCAUGGUUUUAGUUGUAAAAUGCCUUUGUUUUUGACUAAAUACUAGGAGUUAAUUGCCACAUACCACCCGAUGAGAGCUCUUAAUUAAUGCUAGUGGUUUUGCGUGAGAACGUGGAUGAUACUUUUAAGUGGUUUUAGUUACAAAGGCUUCUAGUUACACAACCAUUCAUUCACGUAAAAUAUGAAGCCCUACAGUGCAAGACGCAACACAAGUAAUGGGAUUAUUAGCCAGAGAUUUCUGAAAGGUAAAAGGAACUUUCUUCAAUUGAUGAGGAAGCUAAGACUACGAAACAUUUGCUUUGUUGAAUGAGCGUGGACAAACACAGCGAAAACUAAAAGCUCAAUCGCAUUGGUCAUACACGAGGUGGCAGUCCAUGAAGAGGUUUUAGAAUUUCACAGUCGCGAAACGACGAAAAAUGGUCGAACAAAGAACUUCAUCAAUAUCUGAUAAGAAAGCCUACGACAAACCUAAAGCUAAGGAAAUCUUAUGGAAAAACAACAUAAAAGAAACUCUAAACAAAAAGCAGGAUUUUUUUUGCAAUAUACAGUUGAAAUGCUUCCUCCACUUUGGUUCCACAAACGGAAAUUCACUAAAUUCAUCGGUUCAAAGGAUAAUUUUGAAGUUUGACUUCGAAAGAGCAUUGGACAUUUCGUGAUAUUUGACAUAUCCAGACAGAAGGCCCUGAACAUCAACCGUAACACUUUCUAAACAAGAACACAUAUAGUUUAGCAGAAGACGGAAUCAAGUCCAAUCUUCUCAGAUUUACCAACUUCAGAUCAGUUGAAAGAAUGGAUUAUUCAUUCAUGUGCCAAAAUUGGAAUUCCGUCCUUCUAGACGAAAAGCAGGAAUUUUGAAAAGAAUUCCUAGCUCGAUGAUUGCAAACCAUGGACCAUGUUUACAAAAGAAUUCUUUCCAUAAAGUUGGAAAUUGCAUAUGAACAAAUCUCCAAUAAUUACUGAAAAGAGUUUGAUAACAAAGUUAUAUAGUAGUGGAGUUUUGCCUGCACAAGAAUCAAGCCACAAAUUGCAUAUCCCACAAACAUCCAACAUACAGGACGAUGUGACGUGUAUCAGUUCAGUUGACUGAGUUGGGAAAUUGGAAAGAAGUCUGGAAAAAUUGAUUAAAAAUGCAAGCAACGAACACAAAAGCCCACAUUGGUAACCAAAAUAAUGUCGUUUGCGGAACUAGUCGAGCGAUUUAUUGCAUCAAGUAUUAAAAAGUUG
RNAcentral lists this long non-coding RNA (1783 nucleotides) under Exaiptasia diaphana. Its description in RNAcentral is "uncharacterized LOC110250842, transcript variant X2". Lineage: Eukaryota; Metazoa; Cnidaria; Anthozoa; Actiniaria; Aiptasiidae. The record is from RNAcentral.